Small nuclear RNA from Neoarius graeffei (lesser salmon catfish), 103 nucleotides. The record is from RefSeq and is a predicted model, not a curated record. Lineage: Eukaryota; Metazoa; Chordata; Actinopteri; Siluriformes; Ariidae.
AUACAUAUAGAGAAUGUAGAAGAUUAUUGAGAAGAUACAGAGAAGAUUAGCAUGGCUGCUGCGCAAGGAUGACACGCAAAAUCGUGAAGCGUUACCAUAUUUU